This is a long non-coding RNA of Xenopus laevis (African clawed frog), 1226 nucleotides long. RefSeq lists it as uncharacterized. The transcript has 2 exons. Lineage: Eukaryota; Metazoa; Chordata; Amphibia; Anura; Pipidae. The record is from RefSeq and is a predicted model, not a curated record.
GCCUGCUGAUAACAUCUGCCAGGUAAGCAGAAAAUAAAAUAGCAUUGCUUUCAUCAAUAAAUAGUGCAUCACAUGGCAUUCCAAAAAAAAAAUUUUUUUCCCUGUGUUUAAUGAUCAGUUAAUGUGAUACUGUCUGUCUCUCUCUCUUUUAACCAGCAGAGAUUAAGCAAACCAUCUAAGAACAUAAUACAAGUAAGCAGAAAUAUUUUGGGUACCAGAAAUAAUAAUUAUUUUCCCUGCAUUCUUUUAUUUUCUUCUGUGUAAGAUAUAUAUGAAUGCUGUUUCAGUUAACUACUAAUGUGUUGUAUAUAAUAGCAACAACACAUUUAAUUCACUCUAUACUUGAUAUUGCCCCAUUAACUAGGUCUCAGCUCAGCCCAAUGUGCAGUUUUACCCAGAGAUAGUUAAUCUGCCUUAAAAUAAGUAUUUAGAUAUUGUGAAAAUACAAACUUCUUUCAGAUAGUGUCAAGAUCAGAUUAUAACUCCAGUGCUGCAAGCCGGCGUCAAAAACGGGCACCGACGUAAAAAAAAACGGGCGCUGGCGUCAAAAACGGGUGCCGCCGUUUCACUAAUUUUUCGACAUUUCGCGCGAAAUUCCCGAAUUUUUCGGCAAAGCGAAACGGCGCAAAUUCGCCCAUCACUACUCCUUCUGUCUCUCAAUCAGGAAAAUAAAGUGGAACCUAAAGAGAACAUACAUGAGGCUCCCACUGAACUUGCAUUCGGGAAGCUGUACCGAGUAAGAAAUAUUGGAUUAAUGUGCAACUCUGAUCUGACUCUGUAUCGUCCCACCUAUAAUUCCCUAUUAAAACAUUUUUUCCCAGUGCAUUAUGUUUUAUUAUUACAGAGAAAAAGCAAAUGUUUUUUUCAAAAUUUAAACUAUUUGGAUAAAAUGGAGUCUAUUGGAGACAGCCUUUGCAUAAUUCGGGAGCUUUCUGAAAAAUGGGUUCCCAGAUAAUCUAUCCAUAACCUGUAAUAGUUUAAGCCUAUAAAAAUGUAUCAUGUGACCUAUAUUUACUAUUCUCUAUAACAAUAUUAUUGACUAAUCCCUUAAUUCUAUAAAAGCUGAACCAGCAAAAUGAUUUUACACCAAAUUGUAAAGGAAAAUGAUAUAACCCAACUCAUUGCCUGCUCAAACAUUGUAAUGAUAGAUUAUGAUUUUUGUUUAUGAAUUAAAAUCAGGUAUGGAAUUGCAGAAAUAAACAUGCAGCUGUUAUUUUGUUGUAUAA